CGUAGGAUCCGAGCGUUGUCCGGAUUUUACUGGGUGUAAAGGGUGCGCAGGCGGACUGGUAAGUCAGAGGUGAAAUCUCGUCGCUCAACGACGAAACUGCCUUUGAUACUAUCAGUCUUGAAUCCGGUAGAGAUCUGUGGAAUUCCGAGUGUAGCAGUGAAAUGUGUAGAUAUUCGGAAGAACACCAGUGGCGAAGGCAGCAGAUUGGGCCGGUAUUGACGCUCAGGCACGAAAGCAUGGGGAUCAAACAGGAUUAGAGACCCUGGUAGUCCAUGCCCUAAACGAUGUUCACUUGAUGUCUGCCCUCAGGGUAGGUGUCGAAGCUAACGCGAUAAGUGAACCACCUGGGGAGUACGCUCGCAAGGGUG
This 368-nucleotide ribosomal RNA is filed under the name uncultured organism. RNAcentral's name for it is "bacterial SSU rRNA". It matches the Rfam family "Bacterial small subunit ribosomal RNA", at positions 526 to 896 of the family's 1533-position model. The record is from RNAcentral.